Molecule: ribosomal RNA, 253 nt
Filed under: uncultured bacterium
Lineage: Bacteria
Description: partial 16S ribosomal RNA
Rfam family: Bacterial small subunit ribosomal RNA
Source: RNAcentral
UACGGGGGGAGCAAGCGUUGUUCGGAUUUACUGGGCGUAAAUGGCGCGUAGGCGGCGCAACAAGUCACUUGUGAAAUCUCCGGGCUUAACUCGGAACGGUCAAGUGAUACUGUCGGACUAGAGUACAGAAGGGGCAACUGGAAUUCUCGGUGUAGCGGUGAAAUGCGUAGAGAUCGGGAAGAACACCAACGGCGAAAGCACUCUGCUGGGCCGAAACUGACACUGAGGCGCGAAAGCCAGGGGAGCGAAUGGG